UGGGGAAUAUUGGGCAAUGGGCGCAAGCCUGACCCAGCAACGCCGCGUGAAGGAAGAAGGCUUUCGGGUUGUAAACUUCUUUUAAGAGGGACGAAUAAAGUGACGGUACCUCUUGAAUAAGCCACGGCUAACUACGUGCCAGCAGCCGCGGUAAUACGUAGGUGGCAAGCGUUAUCCGGAUUUAUUGGGUGUAAAGGGCGUGUAGGCGGGAGUGCAAGUCAGAUGUGAAAACUCAGGGCUCAACCCUGAGCCUGCAUUUGAAACUGUAUUUCUUGAGUGCUGGAGAGGCAAUCGGAAUUCCGUGUGUAGCGGUGAAAUGCGUAGAUAUACGGAGGAACACCAGUGGCGAAGGCGGAUUGCUGGACAGUAACUGACGCUGAGGCGCGAAAGCGUGGGGAGCAAACAGGGUUAGAUACCC
Molecule: ribosomal RNA, 418 nt
Filed under: uncultured bacterium
Lineage: Bacteria
Description: bacterial SSU rRNA
Rfam family: Bacterial small subunit ribosomal RNA
Source: RNAcentral